GCAGCCUUCGCCGAUGUCAUCGCCGCCCUCUGGCACCCCGAGUCCUCCGAGGCCGUCAACCCCGGGCGCUUCAAGGCUGUCUUUCAGAAAUACGUCCCCUCCUUCACCGGGUACAGCCAGCAGGACGCGCAGGAGUUCCUCAAGUUCUUCAUGGACCGGCUGCACGUGGAGAUCAACCGCAAGGGCCGCCGGACACCCAGCAUCCUCGCGGACGCCCGGCGGACCCCGGCGCUGGAGGAGCCCGAGACACUGAGUGACGACGAACGCGCCAACCAGAUGUGGAAGCGAUACCUGGAGAGGGAGGACAGCAAGAUCGUGG
Molecule: long non-coding RNA, 319 nt
Filed under: Columba livia (rock pigeon)
Lineage: Eukaryota; Metazoa; Chordata; Aves; Columbiformes; Columbidae
Description: partial uncharacterized LOC102090545
Source: RNAcentral